CCUACGGGGAGCUGCAGUCGAGAAUCAUUCACAAUGGGGGAAACCCUGAUGGUGCGACGCCGCGUGGGGGAAUGAAGGUCUUCGGAUUGUAAACCCCUGUCAUGUGGGAGCAAAUUAAAAAGAUAGUACCACAAGAGGAAGAGACGGCUAACUCUGUGCCAGCAGCCGCGGUAAUACAGAGGUCUCAAGCGUUGUUCGGAAUCACUGGGCGUAAAGCGUGCGUAGGCUGUUUCGUAAGUCGUGUGUGAAAGGCGCGGGCUCAACCCGCGGACGGCACAUGAUACUGCGAGACUAGAGUAAGGGAGGGGGAACCGGAAUUCUCGGUGUAGCAGUGAAAUGCGUAGAUAUCGAGAGGAACACUCGUGGCGAAGGCGGGUUCCUGGACAUUAACUGACGCUGAGGCACGAAGGCCAGGGGAGCGAAAGGGAUUAGAUACCCCAGUAGUC
This 446-nucleotide ribosomal RNA is filed under the name uncultured bacterium. RNAcentral's name for it is "partial 16S ribosomal RNA". It matches the Rfam family "Bacterial small subunit ribosomal RNA", at positions 338 to 795 of the family's 1533-position model. The record is from RNAcentral.